GCUCAGGAUGAACGCUAGCGGCAGGCUUAACACAUGCAAGUCGAACGGUAACAGGUCCUUCGGGAUGCUGACGAGUGGCGCACGGGUGCGUAACGCGUAUGCAACCUACCUCUUACUGGAGGAUAGCCCGAAGAAAUUCGGAUUAACACUCCAUAAUAUUAUGAGAUCACAUUUAAUUAUAAUUAAAACUUCGGUGGUUAGAGAUAGGCAUGCGUCCCAUUAGCUAGUUGGUAAGGUAACGGCUUACCAAGGCAACGAUGGGUAGGGGGCCUGAGAGGGUGAACCCCCACACUGGUACUGAGACACGGACCAGACUCCUACGGGAGGCAGCAGUGAGGAAUAUUGCGCAAUGGACGAAAGUCUGACGCAGCCAUGCCGCGUGAAGGAUGAAGGCCUUAUGGGUUGUAAACUUCUUUUAUUUGGGAAGAAACCCUCGGACGUGUCCGAGGCUGACGGUACCAAACGAAUAAGGACCGGCUAACUCCGUGCCAGCAGCCGCGGUAAUACGGAGGGUCCAAGCGUUAUCCGGAUUUAUUGGGUUUAAAGGGUCCGUAGGCGGGCUUUUAAGUCAGAGGUGAAAGCCUACAGCUUAACUGUAGAACUGCCUUUGAUACUGGAAGUCUUGAGUAUAGUUGAAGUGGGCGGAAUACGUCAUGUAGCGGUGAAAUGCAUAGAUAUGACGUAGAACACCGAUUGCGAAGGCAGCUCACUAAGCUAUAACUGACGCUGAGGGACGAAAGCGUGGGGAGCAAACAGGAUUAGAUACCCUGGUAGUCCACGCUGUAAACGAUGAUAACUCGCUGUUAGCGAUACACAGUUAGCGGCUAAGCGAAAGCGUUAAGUUAUCCACCUGGGGAGUACGUUCGCAAGAAUGAAACUCAAAGGAAUUGACGGGGGCCCGCACAAGCGGUGGAGCAUGUGGUUUAAUUCGAUGAUACGCGAGGAACCUUACCUGGGCUCAAAUGUAGAGUGACAGAUUGGGAAACCAGCUUUCUUCGGACACUUUACAAGGUGCUGCAUGGUUGUCGUCAGCUCGUGCCGUGAGGUGUCGGGUUAAGUCCCAUAACGAGCGCAACCCCUAUUCUUAGUUGCCAGCGGAUAAUGCCGGGGACUCUAGGAAAACUGCCAGCGUAAGCUGUGAGGAAGGUGGGGAUGACGUCAAAUCAGCACGGCCCUUACGUCUAGGGCUACACACGUGCUACAAUGGUAUUGACAGAGGGCAGCUACAUCGCGAUGUGAUGCUAAUCUCGAAAGUCUAUCUCAGUUCGGAUUGGAGUCUGCAACCCGACUUCGUGAAGCUGGAAUCGCUAGUAAUCGCGCAUCAGCCAUGGCGCGGUGAAUACGUUCCCGGGCCUUGUACACACCGCCCGUCAAGCCAUGGAAGCUGGGGGUGCCUGAAGUCGGUCACCGAAAGGAGCUGCCUAGGGCAAAACUAGUGACUGGGGCUAAGUCGUAACAAGGUAGCCGUACCGGAAGGUGCGG
This 1482-nucleotide ribosomal RNA is filed under the name uncultured prokaryote. RNAcentral's name for it is "partial 16S ribosomal RNA". It matches the Rfam family "Bacterial small subunit ribosomal RNA". The record is from RNAcentral.